This 253-nucleotide ribosomal RNA is filed under the name uncultured bacterium. Its description in RNAcentral is "partial 16S ribosomal RNA". It matches the Rfam family "Bacterial small subunit ribosomal RNA", at positions 524 to 776 of the family's 1533-position model. The record is from RNAcentral.
UACGUAGGGUGCAAGCGUUAAUCGGAAUUACUGGGCGUAAAGCGUGCGCAGGCGGUGAUGUAAGACAGUUGUGAAAUCCCCGGGCUCAACCUGGGAACUGCAUCUGUGACUGCAUUGCUGGAGUGCGGCAGAGGGGGAUGGAAUUCCGCGUGUAGCAGUGAAAUGCGUAGAUAUGCGGAGGAACACCGAUGGCGAAGGUAAUCCCCUGGGCCUGCACUGACGCUCAUGCACGAAAGCGUGGGGAGCAAACAGG